Molecule: transfer RNA, 63 nt
Filed under: Proales similis
Lineage: Eukaryota; Metazoa; Rotifera; Eurotatoria; Ploima; Proalidae
Description: tRNA-Gly
Source: RNAcentral
GCAACUGUAGUAUAAAAAAUGCGUCUGAUUUCCAUUCAGAAAAUCUCCUAUGGAGUAGUUGUA